AGUCGAAUUAGCCACUGGCCGUCCCGGCACCAAUGCUGGUCUAGCCUAAGCUUGAGACUAGUUGUUGCUAAUUUAGCAAUGUUGAAUGGCAAUUUUAUGAAUCAAUUUUUUCGAGGUCAGCAAUGGCCUCUUUUUUU
RNAcentral lists this small RNA (137 nucleotides) under Synechocystis sp. PCC 6803. RNAcentral's name for it is "sRNA ApcZ". Lineage: Bacteria; Bacillati; Cyanobacteriota; Cyanophyceae; Synechococcales; Merismopediaceae. The record is from RNAcentral.